Molecule: ribosomal RNA, 253 nt
Filed under: uncultured bacterium
Lineage: Bacteria
Description: partial 16S ribosomal RNA
Rfam family: Bacterial small subunit ribosomal RNA
Source: RNAcentral
UACGUAGGGUGCGAGCGUUGUCCGGAAUCAUUGGGCGUAAAGAGCGCGCAGGCGGCUUGGCAAGUCGGGUGUGAAAUCCCGGGGCUCAACCCCGGGACUGCAUUCGAUACUGUCAGGCUAGAGGUAGGUAGGGGAGAUCGGAAUUCCUGGUGUAGCGGUGAAAUGCGCAGAUAUCAGGAGGAACACCGGUGGCGAAGGCGGAUCUCUGGGCCUUACCUGACGCUCAGGCGCGAAAGCUAGGGGAGCGAACAGG